Molecule: ribosomal RNA, 253 nt
Filed under: uncultured bacterium
Lineage: Bacteria
Description: partial 16S ribosomal RNA
Rfam family: Bacterial small subunit ribosomal RNA
Source: RNAcentral
UACAGAGGUCUCAAGCGUUGUUCGGAUUCAUUGGGCGUAAAGGGUGCGUAGGUGGCGCGAUAAGUCGGGUGUGAAAUCUCGGAGCUUAACUCCGAAAUUGCAUUCGAUACUGCCGUGCUCGAGGACUGGAGAGGAGACUGGAAUUCAUGGUGUAGCAGUGAAAUGCGUAGAGAUCAUGAGGAAGACAAGUGGCGAAGGCGGGUCUCUGGACAGUUCCUGACACUGAGGCACGAAGGCCAGGGGAGCAAACGGG